This 509-nucleotide ribosomal RNA is filed under the name uncultured soil bacterium. RNAcentral describes it as "bacterial SSU rRNA". It matches the Rfam family "Bacterial small subunit ribosomal RNA", at positions 35 to 539 of the family's 1533-position model. The record is from RNAcentral.
AGGACGAACGCUGGCGGCGUGCUUAACACAUGCAAGUCGAGCGGAAAGGCCUCUUCGGGGGUACUCGAGCGGCGAACGGGUGAGUAACACGUGAGUAACCUGCCUUCAGCUUUGGGAUAACCCUCGGAAACGGGGGCUAAUACCGGGUAUUCAGCUUCUGCGGCAUCGUGGGGGUUGGAAAGUUUUUCGGCUGGGGAUGGGCUCGCGGCCUAUCAGCUUGUUGGUGGGGUAAUGGCCUACCAAGGCGGCGACGGGUAGCCGGCCUGAGAGGGCGACCGGCCACGACUGGGACUGAGACACGGCCCAGACUCCUACGGGAGGCAGCAGUGGGAAUAUGCACAUGGCGAAGCCUGAUGCAGCGACGCGCGUGAGGGAUGACGGCCUUCGGUGUAAACCUCUUUCGACGAGGACGAAGCGAGAGUGACGUACUGGAAGAGAAGCACCGCAACUACGUGCCAGCACGCCGACGGUAACUCGUGAGGUCCGGGCUACGGCCGUAAGGGCCGACG